RNAcentral lists this ribosomal RNA (1993 nucleotides) under marine metagenome. RNAcentral describes it as "bacterial LSU rRNA". It matches the Rfam family "Bacterial large subunit ribosomal RNA", at positions 497 to 2488 of the family's 2925-position model. The record is from RNAcentral.
AGUACCGUGAGGGAAAGGCGAAAAGAACCCCGGAGAGGGGAGUGAAAUAGAACCUGAAACCGUGUGCGUACAAGCAGUGGGAGCCCUUCGGGGUGACUGCGUACCUUUUGUAUAAUGGGUCAGCGACUUAUUGUCUGUAGCAAGCUUAACCGUAUAGGGGAGGCGUAGGGAAACCGAGUCUUAAUAGGGCGUUUAGUUGCAGGCAAUAGACCCGAAACCGGGCGAUCUAUCCAUGGCCAGGUUGAAGGUGCCGUAACAGGCACUGGAGGACCGAACCCACUAACGUUGAAAAGUUAGGGGAUGAGCUGUGGAUCGGAGUGAAAGGCUAAUCAAGCCCGGAGAUAGCUGGUUCUCCGCGAAAUCUAUUUAGGUAGAGCGUCGUGUCUUACCCUGGGGGGUAGAGCACUGUUUGGGCUAGGGGGUCAUCCCGACUUACCAACCCCAUGCAAACUCCGAAUACCCAGGAGUACAAUCACGGCAGACAGACGGCGGGUGCUAACGUCCGUCGUCGAGAGGGAAACAACCCAGACCGCCAGCUAAGGUCCCUAAUACCAGUUAAGUGGGAAACGAUGUGGGAAGGCUUAGACAGCUAGGAGGUUGGCUUAGAAGCAGCCAUCCUUUAAAGAAAGCGUAAUAGCUCACUAGUCGAGUCGGCCUGCGCGGAAGAUGUAACGGGGCUAAAUUGGUAACCGAAGCUGCGGAUGCGUGCUUGCACGCAUGGUAGAGGAGCGUUCUGUAAGCCGUUGAAGGUGAACCGGGAGGUUUGCUGGAGGUAUCAGAAGUGCGAAUGCUGACAUGAGUAACGAUAAAGGGGGUGAAAAACCCCCUCGCUGAAAGACCAAGGGUUCCUGUCCAACGUUAAUCGGGGCAGGGUGAGUCGACCCCUAAGGCGAGGGCGAAAGCCGUAGUCGAUGGGAAACAGGUUAAUAUUCCUGUACCACCACGUGAUGCGAUGGAGGGACGGAGUAGGCUAGGUGAUCAGGGCGUUGGUUGUCCCUGUUCAAGGAUGUAGGCAGAGAGCUUAGGAAAAUCCGGGCUCUUAAUGCUGAGAUCUGAUGUCGAGUUUCUACGGAAACGAAGUCAUUGAUGCCAUGCUUCCAAGAAAAGCUUCUAAGCUUCAGUCACGUGGGAUCGUACCCGAAACCGACACAGGUGGUCAGGUCGAGAAGACCAAAGCGCUUGAGAGAACUUGGGUGAAGGAACUAGGCAAAAUGGCACCGUAACUUCGGGAGAAGGUGCGCCGGUGACGGUGAUGGACCUUGCGUCCUAAGCUGUUGCCGGUCGAAGUAACCAGGCCGCUGCGACUGUUUAUUAAAAACACAGCACUCUGCAAACUCGUAAGAGGACGUAUAGGGUGUGACGCCUGCCCGGUGCCGGAAGGUUAAUUGAUGGGGUUAGCGUAUGCGAAGCUCUUGAUCGAAGCCCCGGUAAACGGCGGCCGUAACUAUAACGGUCCUAAGGUAGCGAAAUUCCUUGUCGGGUAAGUUCCGACCUGCACGAAUGGCGUAACGAUGGCCACACUGUCUCCACCAUAGACUCAGUGAAAUUGAAAUCGCUGUUAAGAUGCAGUGUACCCGCAGCUAGACGGAAAGACCCCGUGCACCUUUACUAUAGGUUCACACUGGACUUUGACUUUAUUUGUGUAGGAUAGGUGGGAGACUUUGAAGCCGAGACGCUAGUCUUGGUGGAGUCGUCCUUGAAAUACCACCCUUGUAAAGUUGAGGCUCUAACUUAGGUCCGUAAUCCGGAUCGAGGACAGUGUGUGCUGGGUAGUUUGACUGGGGCGGUCUCCUCCCAAAGAGUAACGGAGGAGUACGAAGGUAUCCUAAGCAUGGUCGGACAUCAUGCAGAUUGUAUAAAGGCAUAAGGAUGCUUGACUGCGAGACCGACGGGUCGAGCAGGUAGGAAACUAGGUCUUAGUGAUCCGGUGGUUCUGAAUGGAAGGGCCAUCGCUCAACGGAUAAAAGGUACGCCGGGGAUAACAGGCUGAUAC